Molecule: long non-coding RNA, 253 nt
Filed under: Lathyrus oleraceus (garden pea)
Lineage: Eukaryota; Viridiplantae; Streptophyta; Magnoliopsida; Fabales; Fabaceae
Description: Pisum sativum (pea) long non-coding RNA (PSAT_LNC033388)
Source: RNAcentral
AGAUACUGGAAUAAUUACGUUCAACAUCACGCAGUAUCGCGCGUGCGACAAGGAUGUAUUAACUGCUUCACACGCGCUAUAUUGGUCAUCACGCGCGUGAUGACCCUUUUUUGGGGGAUUUUCUGGCGCGUUCAGGUCCAUUUUGAAGGCUUUUUAAAGGGGAUUUUGUCACUUUUUCAAGGGUUACGAAAAUUGGCACCAGAAGUACGAUUUCUACAGCAUCAGAUGUGAUUUUGAGAGCAUUUGAAGCCAU